GACGCACCACUGGUGUUCCGGUUGUGUCGCCAGACGCAUUGCCGGGUAGCUAAGUGCGGAAGAGAUAAGUGCUGAAAGCAUCUAAGCACGAAACUUGCCAAGAGAUGAGUUCUCCCAGAUUUAAAAUCUGUAAGGGUUGUUUAAGACUAAGACGUAGAUAGGCAUGGUGUGUAAGCGGUGCGAGCCGUUGAGCUAACAUGUACUAAUUGCCCGAGAGGCUUAACUAU
RNAcentral lists this ribosomal RNA (227 nucleotides) under Parahaemophilus parainfluenzae. RNAcentral's name for it is "Haemophilus parainfluenzae partial 23S ribosomal RNA". It matches the Rfam family "Bacterial large subunit ribosomal RNA", at positions 2700 to 2925 of the family's 2925-position model. The record is from RNAcentral. Lineage: Bacteria; Pseudomonadati; Pseudomonadota; Gammaproteobacteria; Pasteurellales; Pasteurellaceae.